This 694-nucleotide long non-coding RNA is filed under the name Equus caballus (horse). Its description in RNAcentral is "lncRNA (ENSECAG00000052090.1)". Lineage: Eukaryota; Metazoa; Chordata; Mammalia; Perissodactyla; Equidae. The record is from RNAcentral.
CAUUUAUCGAGUAUUUACACAAUUCACCUCAUAUUCGAGUAUUGUUAUUUAAAGGAGAUUGCACACACUGGCAACAUCCGGCCAGCCCACUCAUCCCAGCAGUGAUCCUUGUGGAAACUUCCAUACAUUUACCACUGCCCUUCCCACUUGAUCAAUGUCAUUUCUCAAGAUAUUCCCUAAGAGGAUAUUGGGGACCAGCUUUGUGCUCUUAGAGUGAACGUUUUCCACACAGAGAAAGCGGGUGUGCCAGUCGUUAAUGUGUUAUCUCUCAGCUUCGAAAUAACCUUGCGUUGCCCUGCUUGGUGAUGCUGGAGCUGGGCCCUGUAGACAUUUCUCCUUCGCCAGCUGGCUGGCUGUUAGGCUUUGGGAACAGAGGGUGCUGGAGCGCCACUUCAGGGCCAAACAGGAGGAAGGCAUUUCCCUUCCUGUUCCUAGCCCUGGCACCAGCAGGUCAAAGUGGAGAGGGCCUGGAAGUGCUCACCUCAGCAUCCUGCCUGGACCUGCUCCGCUAGCCUGCAAGUUUCCCACUACCCAGGGCCAUUGCUGUGGAUCAGCCCCCAUCUGCAAUCUCUGUCCAGGUUUUCCAGAAAGCAGACCUGAGGCAAGACUCCUGUGCUCGACUUUGUCAGUGAGUGCGACCACAGGAGCCAGAGUAAAGGACAGAGAGAUUCCAGCGGGGAAGGAGAGGAACCGG